RNAcentral lists this ribosomal RNA (531 nucleotides) under uncultured bacterium. RNAcentral describes it as "bacterial SSU rRNA". It matches the Rfam family "Bacterial small subunit ribosomal RNA", at positions 8 to 526 of the family's 1533-position model. The record is from RNAcentral.
AGGGUUUGAUCAUGGCUCAGAUUGAACGCUGGCGGCAGGCCUAACACAUGCAAGUCGAGCGGCAGCGGGAAAGUAGCUUGCUACUUUUGCCGGCGAGCGGCGGACGGGUGAGUAAUGCCUGGGAAAUUGCCCAGUCGAGGGGGAUAACAGUUGGAAACGACUGCUAAUACCGCAUACGCCCUACGGGGGAAAGCAGGGGACCUUCGGGCCUUGCGCGAUUGGAUAUGCCCAGGUGGGAUUAGCUAGUUGGUGAGGUAAUGGCUCACCAAGGCGACGAUCCCUAGCUGGUCUGAGAGGAUGAUCAGCCACACUGGAACUGAGACACGGUCCAGACUCCUACGGGAGACAGCAGUGGGGAAUAUUGCACAAUGGGGGAAACCCUGAUGCAGCCAUGCCGCGUGUGUGAAGAAGGCCUUCGGGUUGUAAAGCACUUUCAGCGAGGAGGAAAGGUCAGUAGCUAAUAUCUGCUGACUGUGACGUUACUCGCAGAAGGAGCACCGGCUAACUCCGUGCCAGCCGCCGCGGUAAUAC